CCUACGGGAGGCAGCAGUGGGGAAUAUUGCGCAAUGGGCGAAAGCCUGACGCAGCGACGCCGCGUGAGGGAUGAAGGUCUUCGGAUCGUAAACCUCUGUCAGCAGGGAAGAACGGUCACUGUGCUAAUCAGCAGUGACUUGACGGUACCUGCAAAGGAAGCACCGGCUAACUCCGUGCCAGCAGCCGCGGUAAUACGGAGGGUGCGAGCGUUAAUCGGAAUUACUGGGCGUAAAGCGCUCGUAGGCGGUAUGUCAAGUCAAGGGUGAAAUCCCCGCGCUCAACGUGGGAACGGCCUUUGAAACUGGCAAACUGGAGUGUGUGAGAGGAUAGUGGAAUUCCAGGUGUAGGAGUGAAAUCCGUAGAGAUCUGGAGGAACAUCAGUGGCGAAGGCGACUAUCUGGCACAUAACUGACGCUGAGGAGCGAAAGCGUGGGUAGCAAACAGGAUUAGAUACCCCAGUAGUC
This 465-nucleotide ribosomal RNA is filed under the name uncultured bacterium. RNAcentral's name for it is "partial 16S ribosomal RNA". It matches the Rfam family "Bacterial small subunit ribosomal RNA", at positions 338 to 795 of the family's 1533-position model. The record is from RNAcentral.